GAUGAACGCUGGCGGCGUGCCUAAUACAUGCAAGUCGAGCGAACGGACGAGAAGCUUGCUUCUCUGAUGUUAGCGGCGGACGGGUGAGUAACACGUGGAUAACCUACCUAUAAGACUGGGAUAACUUCGGGAAACCGGAGCUAAUACCGGAUGAUAUUUUGAACCGCAUGGUUCAAAAGUGAAAGACGGUCUUGCUGUCACUUAUAGAUGGAUCCGCGCUGCAUUAGCUAGUUGGUAAGGUAACGGCUUACCAAGGCAACGAUGCAUAGCCGACCUGAGAGGGUGAUCGGCCACACUGGAACUGAGACACGGUCCAGACUCCUACGGGAGGCAGCAGUAGGGAAUCUUCCGCAAUGGGCGAAAGCCUGACGGAGCAACGCCGCGUGAGUGAUGAAGGUCUUCGGAUCGUAAAACUCUGUUAUUAGGGAAGAACAUAUGUGUAAGUAACUGUGCACAUCUUGACGGUACCUAAUCAGAAAGCCACGGCUAACUACGUGCCAGCAGCCGCGGUAAUACGUAGGUGGCAAGCGUUAUCCGGAAUUAUUGGGCGUAAAGCGCGCGUAGGCGGUUUUUUAAGUCUGAUGUGAAAGCCCACGGCUCAACCGUGGAGGGUCAUUGGAAACUGGAAAACUUGAGUGCAGAAGAGGAAAGUGGAAUUCCAUGUGUAGCGGUGAAAUGCGCAGAGAUAUGGAGGAACACCAGUGGCGAAGGCGACUUUCUGGUCUGUAACUGACGCUGAUGUGCGAAAGCGUGGGGAUCAAACAGGAUUAGAUACCCUGGUAGUCCACGCCGUAAACGAUGAGUGCUAAGUGUUAGGGGGUUUCCGCCCCUUAGUGCUGCAGCUAACGCAUUAAGCACUCCGCCUGGGGAGUACGACCGCAAGGUUGAAACUCAAAGGAAUUGACGGGGACCCGCACAAGCGGUGGAGCAUGUGGUUUAAUUCGAAGCAACGCGAAGAACCUUACCAAAUCUUGACAUCCUUUGACAACUCUAGAGAUAGAGCCUUCCCCUUCGGGGGACAAAGUGACAGGUGGUGCAUGGUUGUCGUCAGCUCGUGUCGUGAGAUGUUGGGUUAAGUCCCGCAACGAGCGCAACCCUUAAGCUUAGUUGCCAUCAUUAAGUUGGGUACUCUAAGUUGACUGCCGGUGACAAACCGGAGGAAGGUGGGGAUGACGUCAAAUCAUCAUGCCCCUUAUGAUUUGGGCUACACACGUGCUACAAUGGACAAUACAAAGGGCAGCGAAACCGCGAGGUCAAGCAAAUCCCAUAAAGUUGUUCUCAGUUCGGAUUGUAGUCUGCAACUCGACUACAUGAAGCUGGAAUCGCUAGUAAUCGUAGAUCAGCAUGCUACGGUGAAUACGUUCCCGGGUCU
RNAcentral lists this ribosomal RNA (1372 nucleotides) under uncultured bacterium. RNAcentral's name for it is "bacterial SSU rRNA". It matches the Rfam family "Bacterial small subunit ribosomal RNA", at positions 28 to 1381 of the family's 1533-position model. The record is from RNAcentral.